AUUAAUAGAUAUGAUCUUUAAACUUGAAGAAUUUGGCGGUGGUUUAGUCUUGUUAGAGGAACCUGUUUUUGAAUCGAUAAACCACGUAUAAUCUUACUUACUUUAUUAGUUUGUAUACCGUCAUUAUCAGGUAAUUUUUAAAGAAGUAAUUAUUAAAAGUUAUGUAUGUAUAAUCAAACUUAGAUCAAGGUGCAGCAUAUAAGUAAGCUAAAAUGGGUUACAAUAAAAUUUAUUUAUUGCGGAAUAAUUGAGUAAAAUAAAAAUAUUAUGAAGAAGGAUUUAAUUGUAAUAAAAGUUUAAUAAGCUAAAAAGAUAUAAGCUCUAAAUCAU
This 330-nucleotide ribosomal RNA is filed under the name Leptodius sanguineus. RNAcentral's name for it is "partial large subunit ribosomal RNA". Lineage: Eukaryota; Metazoa; Arthropoda; Malacostraca; Decapoda; Xanthidae. The record is from RNAcentral.